GAUGAACGCUGGCGGCGUGCCUAAUACAUGCAAGUCGAGCGAACGGACGAGAAGCUUGCUUCUCUGAUGUUAGCGGCGGACGGGUGAGUAACACGUGGAUAACCUACCUAUAAGACUGGGAUAACUUCGGGAAACCGGAGCUAAUACCGGAUAAUAUUUUGAACCGCAUGGUUCAAAAGUGAAAGACGGUCUUGCUGUCACUUAUAGAUGGAUCCGCGCUGCAUUAGCUAGUUGGUAAGGUAACGGCUUACCAAGGCAACGAUGCAUAGCCGACCUGAGAGGGUGAUCGGCCGCACUGGAACUGAGACGCGGUCCAGACUCCUACGGGAGGCAGCAGUAGGGAAUCUUCCGCAAUGGGCGAAAGCCUGACGGAGCAACGCCGCGUGAGUGAUGAAGGUCUUCGGAUCGUAAAACUCUGUUAUUAGGGAAGAACAUAUGUGUAAGUAACUGUGCACAUCGUGACGGUACCUAAUCAGAAAGCCACGGCUAACUACGUG
This 497-nucleotide ribosomal RNA is filed under the name uncultured bacterium. RNAcentral's name for it is "partial 16S ribosomal RNA". It matches the Rfam family "Bacterial small subunit ribosomal RNA", at positions 28 to 507 of the family's 1533-position model. The record is from RNAcentral.